Molecule: non-coding RNA, 456 nt
Organism: Myodes glareolus (Bank vole)
Lineage: Eukaryota; Metazoa; Chordata; Mammalia; Rodentia; Cricetidae
Source: RefSeq, a predicted model, not a curated record
CUCCCAGCUGGUCAAUGUCCAUAGGACAAGUGGCUGUGAGUGCUCAGCCCAAAUAGGACAUCUAUGUCACCUGCUCCAAGGCUGAAGGAACAUUCAGAAGAGAGGGUGGGGAAAAAACGGAAGACCUGGAGGGUGGGGAGGGCUGUGAAAUGUCUGCCCUCACGAACUCCCUCCGAGCAAGAGCUGCUCAAGAUAAACCAAGAGGGAAUGCUGAGCAUAGGCCUUCCACAGACCAUGCUGGAGGAUGGAGAGAUGGCUCAGCAGCUAAGAGCCCUUGGUCCUUCUUGAGAAAACCAGUCUUCAGUUCCCAGCACCCAUACGGUGGCUCGCAACUCAGUUCCAGCUCUGAUGCCUUCUUCUGGACUCUGUGAGCACUGCGCACACAUGGUACCAGACAUAUGCAAUCAAAACACCCACAUAUGUAAAAAUAAAAUUAAAAAUAUUUCUCAUGUUUCU